GGGGAUUUAGCUCAGUGGUAGAGCGCUUGCCUAGCAAGCGCAAGGCCCUGGGUUCACUCCCCAGCUCCG
Rattus norvegicus (Norway rat) is the source of this 69-nucleotide non-coding RNA. Lineage: Eukaryota; Metazoa; Chordata; Mammalia; Rodentia; Muridae. The record is from Rfam.